RNAcentral lists this non-coding RNA (23 nucleotides) under Arabidopsis thaliana (thale cress). Lineage: Eukaryota; Viridiplantae; Streptophyta; Magnoliopsida; Brassicales; Brassicaceae. The record is from RNAcentral.
GGAAUUGUAACUGAGAUCGUGGU